UAUAAUCCAGUUACUGAGAAUGUGACUAUCAAGAGCGAAGGCGCUAUUCAGUUCAACUUCACGCUUGUUUGAUCCUCAAAAGAUUCAAACAAUGAAUCAAAGAAAGGAAAGGGAGCUAGCAUCAGCACCGAUGAUGCCAGUGAUCCAACUACUAAAGAGUUUAAAACUUUAAUUUAAAAACUUUUAGCUGAGAAUGGUUUGGAAAGCCUCAUGUUACACUCCUUCUCAAAUCUGGCUCUUUAUCGAUACCAUUCCUACAA
This 260-nucleotide long non-coding RNA is filed under the name Homo sapiens (human). Its description in RNAcentral is "non-protein coding lnc-SRARP-3:1". Lineage: Eukaryota; Metazoa; Chordata; Mammalia; Primates; Hominidae. The record is from RNAcentral.